GGUUGUUUAGUUUAUAAAAAACCUUUGUUUUGAAAACAUAUAAAAAGAAUAAAACUUCUUAACAACCU
This 68-nucleotide transfer RNA is filed under the name Petrolisthes haswelli. Its description in RNAcentral is "tRNA-Ser". The record is from RNAcentral. Lineage: Eukaryota; Metazoa; Arthropoda; Malacostraca; Decapoda; Porcellanidae.